This 407-nucleotide ribosomal RNA is filed under the name uncultured bacterium. RNAcentral describes it as "partial 16S ribosomal RNA". It matches the Rfam family "Bacterial small subunit ribosomal RNA", at positions 30 to 526 of the family's 1533-position model. The record is from RNAcentral.
AUUGAACGCUGGCGGCAGGCCUAACACAUGCAAGUCGAGCGGAGCGGCGGACGGGUGAGUAAUGCCUAGGAAUCUGCCUGGUAGUGGGGGAUCACGUCCGGAAACGGGCGCUAAUACCGCAUACUAUCAGAUGAGCCUAGGUCGGAUUAGCUAGUUGGUGGGGUAAAGGCCCACCAAGGCGACGAUCCGUAACUGGUGUGAGAGGAUGAGCAGUCACACUGGAACGGAAACACGGUCCAGUCUAAUACGGGAGGCGGCGGUGGAGAAUAGUGGACAAUGGGCGAAAGGCUGAUCCAGCCAUGCCGAGUGUGUUAAGAAGGGCUUGGGAUAGUAAAGCAAUUUAAGUUGGGAGGCGUUACCAACAGAAUAAGCACCGGCUAACUUCGUGCCAGCAGCCGCGGUAAUUC